GCUGGGCAUGGUGGUGCACGCCUGUAAUCCCAGCUACUCAGGAGGCUGAGGCAGGAGAAUCGCUUGCACCCAGGAGGCAGAGGUUGCAGUGAGCCAAGAUCAAGCCACUGCACUCCAACCUGAGUGACAGAGCGAGACUCUGUCUUAA
Molecule: non-coding RNA, 148 nt
Filed under: Homo sapiens (human)
Lineage: Eukaryota; Metazoa; Chordata; Mammalia; Primates; Hominidae
Source: Rfam by way of RNAcentral